This 36013-nucleotide long non-coding RNA is filed under the name Lathyrus oleraceus (garden pea). Its description in RNAcentral is "Pisum sativum (pea) long non-coding RNA (PSAT_LNC037799)". Lineage: Eukaryota; Viridiplantae; Streptophyta; Magnoliopsida; Fabales; Fabaceae. The record is from RNAcentral.
ACGUUCUUCCGUUUUAUCAACCAAUUCUCUCUCAAUGAUGAUUCACCUCACAAACCCUACCCAAGUUAUCGCUCAGACAAAAUUAAGAUACUACAACUACUACCCUAAAACACAUUUUGUAUUAGAGUUUCUUUCACACACUAAUUAGACACGCCACUCUCUCACUUUCUUCCAUUCUAUCAAUCAUUUUUCUCUCAAUGAUGAUUCACCUCAGGAUCCCUACCCAAGUCAUCACUCUUUCACCUUUAACCACCUCCAUCAAUCCACCUAUUACCAUAUCCACAUCCCUUUUUACUCCCAUAAUUUAUCUCUUCCAAUUAUCCUGACGAUACAUGGUCUUCGUUCACUUUUGUUCUUCUUAUUUUAAAAAUGACAAUGGAGUUGAAUUCCUCGUGUCAUUUUUCUAUGCCUCAGUAGGAAUCUUCCCAUCAAACUUCAUUUGCUGAGACACUCUUAUAAUCAUGUUCUAAACAAUAAAACUCCUUUUGAGUCUCUAUCCAAAUACCCUCCCACAUUUCGUAAUCUUAAUUUUUUAGAUAUAUUUGCUUGCCUAUACCUAAUGUCUAACAGGACCAUAUUAGAUCCUAGGGAAAUGUAUAUGUCCUUUAUUACUUACAUAUUAGAAACACUUUUAUCUCUAAAAACAUCACAUUCUAUAACAUUUGAAUAUUUAACCUUCAUGGAUGUCCUUAGUCAAGACAAGCCUGAUACAAUUGUUAUUAUAUAUGAUAAUUGUCCAAAUCUCAUUUUGAUUUUAUGCCACCCUUAAACAAUUCCAUGGAAUCUACCACUUACAAAGAAGCAAUUAAAUUCCAACAAUGGAUUGAGGUCAUGAACAUGAGAUAUAACUGAAUUAUCAUCCAAUAAAAAGUCUAUUGGAUGCAAAUGGCAUUUUAAAAUCAAACAUGAUAGUGAUGGUUCCAUAAAAAGAUUAUUUGGAAAGUAGCUAAAUUAACCAAUUAGUCAUUCACCAACUAUAUGUUCAUAAUGCAUUUCUUUAUGACACUAUAAUUAUUUUCAACAAUCAUGUAUGAAUACACUUAAAAUUAUUUUCAAUCAAAAUCUGAAUACACUUAAAAUUAUUUUCAAUCAAAAUCUGAUUAUUCUCUGUCUAUAAAUGACAGUCAAGAAAGUAUGUCCCUUAAGCAAUUCCUAAUUAACUCCUUAUUCAAGAUCAAAGAUUUAGAACACCUAAAAUAUUUCUUAGGACUAGAAGUGACAAGAUCUCACACAGGAUUUACGACGCGAUUGUCGGAUCUAGUUAGGUAAAAUUAUAUUACUUCGUUAUAUACUGUAAUUGUUGGAAAUGUUGAAACUAUUUGAUUCAUAUUGUAGCUUGAAACACUAUGAUUUGAGGGCUUAAUAUCAAUUAUGAGAGAUUUUUGUAUGAUUAACAAUAGAGAGAUAGUUUGUAAGCCUACAUAUAGUGAACGGUUUUAGUAUGCUUUUAAUUAUGAUUCGUAGUAAUUUUAUUGCUUUUGCCGUUGAAAAUUUUAUGUAAAAUUUUAAGUCAAUUCUUGUUUUAAAUACACUUUUGCUUUUUAUGAAUAAACAUAAUUGUGAUAAUCAUGUGUUAUCAUUAAUAAAUUUUACAAAUGCCAAGGUGUAAUAAACUUAUCACUUUGCAAUGCAUUGUAAACAUUAAGAUGCAGCUAGUGCUUUGAUACAUGUACAAGAGAUUAAGUUAGGGUCUUACACAGAAAAUCCAAACAUAUUAUGCAUACUUUUUUUCUUAGUGACUUGUUUAUUUGCUUCUUAUACAUAAAGAAAUAGGAUUUCCAUCUAAUGGAAUUGGAGUUGUUAAAUGACUUAUUUAUUUAGUUGGAGCAAUCAAUAGCUUAUUUUGUGAUUUUGUAGAAAUGUUGACAAUUGACUCAUGAGUUAUUGCAUCCAUCAUGAUAUUGGAAUUCAUGACAUUCAUCACUUAUUCACUCAAAUUAUGUAUUACCACUUAAUAGAAGUUGUGAGUAUAUCUUCACACCAAACUCUUCUGACAUUGGUUACAAGAGAAUGGUGAAUAGUAUUGUGUAAAAAACUAUUUUAAAAAUACAAGGGAUUUGACAUCGCUUAAAUAUACAACCGAUGUAAGAAGUGGUCUUGCAACUCCCUAUCCCCUCAGUUAUCGGUCACAACUGAGGGGGAAACCAAAGGAUUUUACCUCGGUUCACUGUCCACCCUAUGUGAAAAGUGACACGCUUUCAAAGUUUUCACCUCUAUUCAGAGUUCAUCUGAUGUAAAAUCUAGCACACUUUCAAGUUUUAUAUAUCGACAUCUGGCUCGAGGGGAAAAUAACAUACUUUCUAUAACACACUACGUUUUCUCACGCAUCUAACAGAGGUAAAAGUCAUUUUUCAACCAAGGUAAAAGCCUUUUUUAAUGGUAAUGAUAAGAUGUUUUUAGACUGUUCUAUGUCUUGCAAUAUCCAUAAUGUUCGGGGGUCUGUUAUAAUAAAUUUUGGAAUGUUUAUGGCCAUGGAAUUUGAAAGGAUUUCUAAUCUUAUCAAUGGAUAUAUAGUAACUGGUAGAUUGGUCCCAUAUAUUGUUGACUAUCUCAGUUAUAAACAAGACUUUGAAGAUCUCCAAACAUUAUAAAGAUGUACGAGAUUCGGUCUAGUGGUGUGUUUUCACAUUAAAUCAAUUAAGAAAGGUCAUGAUACAUAUCGGUUGUUAAUAAAUUAAAAAUCAAUUUAUACUUCCAAAUCCCACAAGGACUGCUCUCAAGGAUAAACUCAAUUCAUGUAUAGACCAAUUCAUCAAGAAACGAGACAAAAACAUUUUCCAACCUUUUUAUGAACCUAUAUAUGAAGUCAUAAACCAAUUCUUGAAGAUGUUAUUCUAGGUUCAUUAGGUCGAUUGACUUAAAUUUAGACAAAUGCCAAUAUAAUACAUGAUUUGGUAAGGUUCAUUUGGUCUUUGUUGGAUUGAUAUCCUUGUAUUUGAUGGUGAUAGUUAAACCAUAUUAGAAAAUACCUUUCUGGACUGUGGAUGCAUAUGCAAUGCGAGUAUUCCCUACACUAUUUUUGACUUUAGGCAACGGAAGAAUAGUCAAUGGCUUAAAACCCAUAGCUUAAAGUGGUAAUAGGCUGCGCUUUUUACUCGUUUUCAAGUUUCGAGAAUUAUGUUAGAAUUUUGUUGUGUUUUUACUUUAAGCUACGAUUUUGAAAGUGUGGUAAUAACAAAAUUGUUGCCAAUUGCUUUUAAACUACGUUUCUGAAGUGUGGCUGUAUAGAAACCGUCCCAAAGCUACGAUUUUGAAAGUGUGGUAAUAACAAAAUUGUUGCCAAUUGCUUUUAAACUACGUUUCUGAAGUGUGGCUGUAUAGAAACCGUCCCUUAUUCAAUUUAGACUACGGUUUUAGAGUGUGGGCAUAAGAACAUAUCUUGGAAAUCCAUCUUGGAAAAUAUAUUUCUACACUGUGGAUGUAUAUGCAAUGCGAGUAUUCCCUACACUAUUUUUGACUUUAGACAACGGAAGAAUAGUCAACGGCUUAAAAACCCUAGCUUAAAGUAGUAAUAGGUUGCGCUUUUUCUUGUUGUCAAGUUUUAUGUUAGAAUUUUGUUUUGUGUUUACUUUAGGCUACGGUUCUAAAAGUGUGGUGAUAACAAAAUUGUCGCCUAUUCCUUUUAUACUACGUUUCUGAAAUGUGGCUGUAUAGAAACCGUCCCUUAUUCAAUUUAGACUAGUGUGGGUGUAAGAAAAUAUCUUGGAAAAAAUAUUUUUAGAUUGUGGAUGCAUAUGCAAUGCGAGUAUUCCUACACUAUCUUUUACUUUAGGUAACGGAAGAAUAGUCAACGACUUAAAAACCGUAGCGUAAAGUGGUAAUAGACUGCGCUUUUUACUCGUUGUCAAGUUUGUAGAAUUAUGUUAGAAUUUUGUUUUGUGUUUACUUUAAGCUAAGUUCUGAAAGUGUGGUAAUAAUAAAAUCGUCGCCUAUUCCUUUUAAAGUAUGUUUCUGCAGUGUAGCUGUAUAGAAAUCAUCCCUUAUUCAACUUAGACUACGAUUUUAAAGUGUGUUUAUGAAAAUAUCCCUUAUUAAAGUACUGAAUCCAUGUUAGUAUAGACAAAAUAUUCAUAUAUACACUCUAGCUACAACUAAGCUAUAUGAUAUCGUGAUAAUUUGUCUUCCUUAAACUAAUUUAUAUAUAAUAUUUAAAAUUAUAUACAUAUAAUAUAAAUAAUUUUAUAAAAACAAAUUUAUUAAUAUACACCACACUAUUUAAAAUACAUGGUCUUGAAGAGAUAGAUUUUGAAUUUGAUGAUUUAUCAUCUUACUCUAAAUAAACAGAAUUAUAAAAAAACAAAAUUUGUUAUAAAUACAUGAUGGCAACUCCAAAAUAAAAAUUAUUUUUUUAUAGCUAUUAUUAAAAUAGUUAAAUAAAUUUAUUGUAAAAUUAAUAAAAUUUGUUAAUCUCUAUAAUAUCUUUUUAUAUGAUAAAAAAAAUUAUACAAAAAGAGAAACCAUAGAUUUUGUGNAACCGUCCCUUAUUCAAUUUAGACUACGGUUUUAGAGUGUGGGCGUAAGAACAUAUCUUGGAAAUCCAUCUUGGAAAAUAUAUUUCUACACUGUGGAUGUAUAUGCAAUGCGAGUAUUCCCUACACUAUUUUUGACUUUAGACAGCGAAAGAAUAGUCAACGACUUAAAAACCCUAGCUUAAAGUAGUAAUAAGUUGCGCUUUUUCUUGUUAUCAAGUGUUAUGUUAGAAUUUUGUUUUGUGUGUACUUUAGGCUACAGUUCUAAAAGUGUGGUGAUAACAAAAUUUAGACUACGGUUUCAGAGUGUGGGUGUAAGAAAAUAUCUUGGAAAAUAUAUUUUUAGAUUGUGGAUGCAUAUGCAAUGCGAGUAUUGCUACACUAUCUUUUACUUUAGGUAACGGAAGAAUAGUCAACGGAUUAAAAACCGUAGCGUAAAGUGGUAAUAGACUGCGCUUUUUACUCGUUGUCAAGUUUGUAGAAUUAUGUUAGAAUUUUGUUUUAUGUUUACUUUAAGCUAAGUUCUGAAAGUGUGGUAAUAAUAAAAUCGUCACCUAUUCCUUUUAAAGUAUGUUUCUGCAGUGUAGCUGUAUAGAAAUCAUCCCUUAUUCAACUUAGACUACGGUUUCAUCCCUUAUUCAACUUAGACUACGGUUUCAAAGUGUGUUUAUGAAAAUAUCCCUUAUUAAAGUACUGAAUCCAUGUUAAUAUAGACAAAAUAUUCAUAUAUACACUCUAGCUACAACUAAACUAUAUGAUAUCGUGAUAAUUUGUCUUCCUUAAACUAAUUUAUAUAUAAUAUUUAAAAUUAUAUACAUAUAAUAUAAAUAAUUUUAUAAAAACAAAUUUAUUAAUAUACACCACACUAUUUAAAAUAACAUGGCUUGAAAGAAGAAUAGAAUUGGAAUUGACAAUAAUUAACAUUCUACUACCACUAAAAAACAAAUUAUAACAAAAAACAACAAAUCCCUGUUAACAUACAUGAAAUGGCAAACUCCAAAAUAAAGACUUAAAUUUUUUUCAUACGCUAUAUAAUUAAAAUAGUACAUAAAUUCUAUUGCGUACCCAACACAUUAAAAUAAAUCAUUUGGUUAACCCUAAUAACUCCUUUAAUAAUCGAUAAAGAACAAAACUUUUAUUACACAAAAAAAGAAACCCAUAGACUGCUGUGUAACACUAGAAAAUUGAACGAUUCCAUCCUCAAUAACCUCUGAUAGCAAAUUGAAAAUGAAUUUUUGUGAAAACAAAUAUUUUUUACAACUAUUAAUGACAUAAUCUGAUUUAAAUGUCCAAAUAAAUAUUCUAAUUUUUAUCUAUUAAUUAAGUUCAUUUUUGUUUAGAACAAUAUCUUUGUUAUAAGAUGUUAUUUUUUGUUUAAAAAUGAAAUUCUAUUUCCUAAACAUUUUCUUUGGCGUUCUUAAUUUAUAAACAAAGUAAAUGUUUUUUUUUUAUUAUAAUUUCUUGGCAAUUUGAGUUUUUGGGUGUGUCUGUCUGAAAGUUUAGGGUUUGCAUGGUGAGGUGAUGCAUAUGUUAUAAGUGGAUGUAACUUUUUCUUGGAUUGUGACGUUUUUAGUAUAAUGCUGGUUUGUGGCUCCGACGUUCCCCAAACUCACACACCUUCCCCAAAGGGUGAAUCGUUAUUCCCCCCCCCUUUCCAUUUCCCAACGCCCAAAUCCUGACAAACAUAAUUGGUUUUCUAUUUUUGAAUUUUUUAUCCAAUGUAGUUUUUUUGAAUUAUGAUUGGCAAGAAUCAAUCAAAUAACUGUUCCUACAUUUGAUUGUUUACUCCCCACACUCUAAUUUUGAACCCCACCUAAUUAAAGCCUUUUCUUUCGCAGCUUUCUUUGUAUUAUACAUUAAAAUUAUUAUUCUUGACCCUUUUAAUUAAUCUCGACAAUACUCGAAGAAUUCUAUUAUUGUGUUGGUUUGUGCGACAGUCUUUUUAGAUAUUUUAAUAAAGUAUAUUCUACUUCUUCUCAUUAUGAGAAUAAACUGUCCCCUCCAUUUUUUUUUGAAUACUCCUUUUUUUAGACUGAUAUAACGCUGCGCUGUUCGAGAACUCUUCCUAAAACGACACUGCAAGAAUUCCCAAAGCAUGAUGAUCCAAUUCGUUAGAGAGAAUUUUCGAAACCCGUGGAUCAUAGAAUGGGGAAAAUCAUCCAAACAAGGGAGGACAAUAUAGCAGGCCCAUCUUAUCCUCCUCCUAUUUACGUCCGCGAUGUCAACUUAAACUAAUAUUCCAAUUAGAAAAAUUCUUCCUAAAAUUUUCUUUUUUGAAAUAAAUGCAAUUUGAUAACAAAUCCGGCGGAAAAAUCUUAAUUCUUCUUUCUAGAUUGUUGUCACAUGAAUGCUGGUUUUCACUUGACACACCUUGUUGUUAUGUUUAGCCUACAGAAUUAAAUGGUAAAAAUGGUUUUUAAUAAUUCACCCUCACGUCUUCCUAUUGCCCAGUUAAUUGCGAUUUGUUGUCCGGAAAACCGCAGAUUCUGAAUCGUACUCAAAAAGUCAAAUAGGAUAUACUAUAGUACUAUAUAUAUAUAUAAGUAAUAAUAAGAUAAUAAUAGUAACUAUAGAUAAUAAGUAUUAUAAUAAAAAAUAAUAUACAAAUAUGGUGUGUGUGUGGUGAGGGUGUUGCCAAAAGACUUGUAGGCAACUUAACUUAUUUUUUUAAUGUUUCCUUAGAGUCAAACGUUUUAUUGUAAUGCUUAAUCUUAAAGAUCGGUUCCGGGAUUUUUCUCCAAUCGAUUCUUACGGGGCGAUUAUAAGAUAUUUUUUAAAAAUGAAAUGACAUAAGAUGAGCCCCUACGGUAUUUUUAAUUGUGGUGCUAGUCAAUAAUUGGUGCUUUUCCAUCGUAUUUGGGGAACGUUUGUUUGAUGUGAUUACUAAAGAAAGCUUUUUGAAACCUAAAACUAAAAACUAAAAUACGGAUGGAAAACUUAUUUUUUGGAUAGUUAAGCGCGAACGGGGGUUCAUAUUAAUCCCGUGGGUUCAAAACUAAACAAAAACCCGCGCUCUAAACAGGAUAAUAGGCCUAAUGGGGCCCGCCGUUUCUCACCACGCUUGACUUUUCGUGCCCCCUUAAAGAACUCAGACCCACAACCCUACAGUUUCCCUAACGCUUAGAGGAGACGGUAUUUUCACAGUUGGUUGCCUUAAACCCAUUUGUGUAUCUAGAGUGAUACACCGUGUUGAAUGGCAAUUUCCCCGUGACUUACCGCCCAUAGGCCCCCUCUAAUGCGACAACAGUAUACCAACUCCAAAGUCGAUCGGUUAGCCCAAGUAGUGUCCCCCUUAACUUACCUAAGCGUUGCAUGGAUCUUAGCCACUCCCCAAAAAAAACUACCAAACACUGGGGAACUAUCCCGUGUCUAGACCGAUCCUAUUGAGUCGACCAGCCGCCAAACUAUUUCCCACAAACUAAGAAAACGACUCCUAUAACUACUCCACCAAGGAGAGUUCAAAUUUACAUAAAGAAAACCAAGCUAAAAGGAACGUGCGGUAAAAAAACAUUGUAAGUGUUUGAUCCCCCCCCCAGAAAAAUAGUACAUAUUCCUAAGCUCCAUAGAUCAUGCGGCUAUCAUAGAAAAUAAAUUUCAAUGUAGUCAUUGUACAGCGGAGAAACAAUCGUAACAUGAUGACAUGUUAUCGUCUAAUAGGGCGAUACAUCAAAUGCUCUCACACUUCCGAUUGUAACGUCUAAAAUGUCUUUUGUUCGACUUCGCUGUGAAAGUAUUUUUACUCCAAUAAUCCCCUAUCCUCAUGCGAACACUUUUUUAUCGAAUCAACCUUGACUCUAUAAUGUUUCAUCUUUUUUAACUUUGUGCCUCUACAUGUACACAACAGUUAAGGGGGGUCCAAAUAAAAAGCCCAACUUUGACCUAACCUCUAUAUGAUUUGGACUUUCCCCUGAGUAUUUAAUCAAUUAAGAAAACUUCACUCCAAAAGCGUGAAAAAGGUAGUAAAUUGGGAAUCUGUGUUAAGUACUAUACUCCCCAACUUGCGAUAUUCAAAAAAGAUUAUCCCACUAACUUAAAAAAAAAUAGCCCUCCUUAUCUUGAACUUUAAUAAAAUGUUUAAGUUGGAAAAAUAUGUUUUAAAUAAAUAAAUAAGGUAGCGGUAAUUUGUUCCAUAACAAAAACUAAGAAUGGUGGGGGGAGACUUGAAUGCGGGGUCCCAGUUAGUCCCCCUCGGAUAAUUUAACCGGUUGUGCCCCGAUGGAAACCCCAAGGUUAAAUACUCCAAUAACCCCAUUCACCUUUUAAGAGUCAACAAAACAAUUAAGUUAAGAUCUAUCGAUAAACAAUGAACAAAAUAGUACUUAAAAUAUCUCUCGUGCAUAUUAUAAAUACUGUUAAUAAAUCGAUUAAAUGCUCCCCGUAAUGGCAAUUUAGAACGUCCAUAAAACGAAAGUUAAUCUAUUUGAUUCUUCAAAUAGAAAUUAAAGUGAAGGGCGGAAAAGAAAGCCAGACAAAUUUCAAUUCUCAAAAUGAUUCAAUGUUUAGAAUUUCUUUUACCCAAAAAAAAGAAAAAAGGUUCUAAUAAUUAAUUCAAAUUGAUAUUUGAAAAUCACUUGUAAAACCUUGUUAUAUUUAUUAGAAAUUAAACCGGANUGACCCGUGUGAGCCAUUUAACCGAUGAAAAUUUAUUUCAAAAUUUAAAGAAACGCUGUAUUUUUUCAAUAAGUAUAUUUCGUACUGAUCAUUUUCAUGCAUCCGAUUUAAUUUUUUGAGCAAAUUUUCGCCCGACUUUUAUUAAUUUUUAGUCGUUUUAAUUUUGUUCUUUCGUCAAAAUAGUCAGAUUAAAUAAAUAGAAUUUUCCAUGUUAUUAUUUUAAUUUUAUCAUGAUUGUCUAAAAAGUUGUGAAUUUUAUUUUAUUCAAUUGAUUUAAAUUGUUUUAAAUAGAUUAUAUCAUCUAAAAAAGGCAUUAUAUGCAUUUUGAUUUAUUUAAAUAGUGUGUGUUUCUUGGUGUGUUUCUUUGAUUCAAUCCAAGCCAUCGGUUCAAAUUAAUCAGUGGCCAUUAUUAGCAAUCCAUAUUUAUCCCAUUUAUCCAAUCAAAAAUUAGGAUUUAAUUAAUACUAUUAUUUAAGAAAAUUUGAAAAUAAGUGAAAAAAUUCUCUCUCUCUCAGGUACAUAGCUUCCAACCGUAAGAUGGAAAAGAAAUAAUUAAGAGGACACUACCUCUCUAACCCACUACCACUCACUCACUUUCAGUAAGAAAAAACUAAAAAGACAAAAAUAAAAAAGAGAAAGAAACCCAUCCUCUUUUCCUCACGUAGCAACCUCCAUUUUCGCCAACAACCGUGAUUUCCAAGCGACAUCCCACAUCACCUUCGCCACCGCCCUUCCAAACACAACACCGGACCACCCCUUCGUCUCUCCAACCGCAGAUCCCUCCACCAACAAUCCGCUGUUAACCGUCACGCUCCCUCCGGCGACGCCCCUUCCGACCCUUAACCGUGUAAACCUUGCUUCACACACUCAAACCAUAAAAUCCACCAUGAACAACCUAGAUCUGCGUCAAAAUGGUGUUGGCGACCAUAACGCGUCCUUACUCAUGUUUGAAAAGAUCCGGAUCAAGCACGUUAAAGAAGUCGCGGUUGAAGUUUCAUAUGUGUGUGAGUUCUUUGCGUUUCCUUAUACCUGCAUUUCUGCAUUUUAAUGAUAAUGCUAUUUUUUCUUUUCACUGCAAUUUAUGUUAUUAUACAGCAUACAAUAUGUUUUAAAUUAUUAUUAUAACGUUAUAUUAGUUUUAGUUAUAAUAGUUUAAGUUUAACUUAUUGUUAUAUUAUAUUAAAAUUUUAGUUUAACUUAUUAUUAUAUUAUAUUAGUAUAACUUGGCCACAAAUACUGAUUGGUGUUAAUAUGUAGAAAAGUUUAAAUAUGUGUAUAAUUUAAUGAGAUUUGUGGAAAUAUAAUGAUACUUUGUGUUAGAUAGGGACUUGAUUUUGAUGCACGUUUUAAGUGAUAUACCACAAAUACUGUACUAGACUAGUGAAGAAGAAUAAAAUUCAUUUCUAUUUGUCUUAGUUUCUUUGUCUGUUUGUGUGAUUAUAAAGUCACAUGCCCACAUAGUCCAACUUAUUAAAGUGGAUGAUAUAAUAUAUUGAUUUCAAUUGAUUAUUAUUGUAAAUUUUGCUAGUUAUAAGUCUUAUAAAAAUUGUGAAAACAUUGUAAAUAAUUGUAAGUUGUUGUUUUUAAAUUAAUUACAUUUUUUAAUUGGAUUUUUUAAAUCCGCGGAUCCGGCAAUUUCAUGUCGGUAUAUCGCCAAAUUUCAAUAAAUUAAUAGAAUAUUUCAUCGUGUUUCAAUCUUUACAUACGACAGUUCAACUCUGUUGUCGCUAUGUAUAAACCGGUUUAUGAGCACAUGGCGACCGAUUCAAUUCGAUUAGCUAAGUAUUCAAUGUUGUCACUUGUCUCUUUUUUUAAAAAUCAAUUAAUUAAUUAAAGUCUUGAUUAAUUAGAUAAUUUUGUUAACUAAUUUUAACUAACUUAAUUAUUUCAUUAUAUUAAUUUUUAAUCGAAUAGUUUUGAUAAUUAAUUUUAAUUAUCUCAAUUAGAUGGCUUAAUUGAAUUUUAAUUAAUUAAUUUUAUUAAUCAAAAGUUGACCGACUUAUUUCACAAUCAUUUUUCAUUAUCAUUUCAUAAUACAAAUUCAAUUCCAAACCACUUUUAAACCACUAAAGUCACACAACUCUCGAUUCAAUCGAGCCUCUUUUUCCAUACCUUUGUAAGUCGAUUGCUUUUAGCAUCGCCAUCAACCUCACAUAGCUUACUCUUGGGCUUUCUUACAAUGAGACCUAUUCGAUUUUAAUUUAUCGAGUAGAUGAUUGAUUCACCAAAAUAAUCCAACUUAUCCAAAAACACACAUUCAAAUCUCGAUCCAACAUCGGGUAUUUUUCAUUCAAAAUCAAUUAAAAUACUUAAUCCCAAACAAAUACCGAUUCAUUUGGAAAUGAAAAGGGGGAUGGUUUUGAGUUUUCAACUCCUCUCCUCGAUUAUUUGAAUAUGAGUUCUCUUACUCGGUUAGUCAAAUAAUUGUCAUUGCUAAAUCACCUAAACAUAAUUAAGUCAAUUUAUUCUCAUAAUGACGAAAUGAAAAAGGAGAUGGUUUUAAGCCUUUAACUCCUCUCCUUGAUUGUCUGAAUACGAGUUUUCUUACUCGGUCAGUUAGACACUCGUCAUUUCUUUACAAACCUCUAACUAGAUUAAAUCAAACUAUUUCACAAUAACGAAAUGAAAAGGGGGAUGGUUUUGAGCCUUCAACUCCUCUCCCCAAUUGUUUGAAUACGAGUUCUCUUACUUGGUUAGUCAAACAAUUUUCAUUCUUCCACCAAAUUAAUAAAUUAAUCAAAACAUUUUCAUAAUGAACUGUACGAAAAGGGAGACGGUCUUGAGCCUUCGAUUCCUCUCCUCAAAUGCUUUGAUAUGAGUUAUCUUACUCAGCCGUUCAAGUACUUGUUGUUUAUUCUAAAAUACAUCAACUAUACAUAAACCUAUUUUCAUAAUCAAUUAAAGAUGAAAAAGAAAGUGGUCUAGAGUCUUCUAUUCUCUUUCCUAAUUAUUAGGAUACGAGUUGUCUUACUCGACCGUCCGAGUAAUCGUCAUCCAUUCAAAAUACCUUAACUGUUAUCAACUCCUUUCAUAAUAAAGGAUGAAAAGGGAGAUGGUCUAGUGCCUUCGAUUCCUCUCCUCGACUAUUAGGAUACGAGUUGUCUUACUUGAAUAUCCAAGUAAUCGUCAUCAUACAAAAUGUCUCAGCACAUCAAAUAUAUAUAUCUUUCUCGCCCACGUGCGAUCAAAACCAAUCAAACAAAACGUCAAACAUAUUAAUCCAACUUGUCACCCCCGUGUGAUCAAAACCCUUCUUUCAAAAAGAACACUGUUAAUCCUUUCUGAUGCGCACAACAAACUAGUGCUUAAACCUCCACCGAGAAUAGACAAGCCAGCGUUUAGCCUUUGAAAUGCGAACUACGCAGUUGUUCAUAAAAAACACCAACCAAUCGUAGUUCCCCGAACUACGAAUGCUCUGAUUUCCUUAUUACACCAUAAGGAUACGUAGGCAGGAGAUUGCUGUAUCUUCGCGAGCACACUAAUAAAAAACCUCCCCUUUCCCCUUCUGAGGUUCUCAUCCAUUUCCAUUUUUAAUAAUUUUAUAAACCAAAAAUAACAAACAAACAUAAAUUAACACUCGAAACUCACAUUAGAACUAAAAGGUUUCCGUUGAGUACAACGGACGUAAGGGGUGCUAAUACCUUCCCCUUCGUAAUCCACUCCCGAACCCGAAUAUGGUUGCGACGACCAUUAUUCCAUUUCCUAAAGGUUUUAUCGAUAUUUUCCUAUUCCUUCAUUGGGAUAAAUAAAGUUCGGUGGCGACUCUGUUCGAACAUAAUUUUUUCCGCGACCAUCGCGAGGAAUCAUAUUUUUCGAGAUGCGACAGAUGGCGACUCUGCUGGGGAAUAGCUCCAAGCAAAAGAGAGUGAAGCCUAAUUUAGUUCAGUUUUUGUAUUUGUGUCUUAAUCUUGUUUGUUUGUUUGUUAUUUUUAUUCUGUUACUAUUCUAUUGUAAUUAUUGUGUGGUGUUUUAUUGGUUAUGUAUUAUUGGGGUUCUCUGGUCGGUGAUACUUUGUGAGAUAGGCUCUCCACCUGAGUCUGAGAAAAACCAUAAGAUUAAGUUGGUGGUUGCGUAGUGGGCGCCCACAAGGAGUCUUCCUUGUUGGGAAGAUACGAAGACCCCNUGUUCUAUGUCUUGCAAUAUCCAUAAUGUUCGGGGGUCAGUUAUAAUAAAUUUUGGAAUGUCCAUAAUGGCCAUGGAAUUUGAAAGGAUUUCUAAUCUUAUCAAUGGAUAUAUAGUAACUGGUAGAUUGGUCCCAUAUAUUGUUGACUAUCUCAGUUAUAAACAAGACUUUGAAGAUCUCCAAACAUUAUAAAGAUGUACGAGAUUCGAUCUAGUGGUGUGUUUUCACAUUAAAUCAAUUAAGAAAGGUCAUGAUACAUAUCGGUUGUUAAUAAAUUAAAAAUCAAUUUAUACUUCCAAAUCCCACAAGGACUGCUUUCAAGGAUAAACUCAAUUCAUGUAUAGAUCAAUUCAUCAAGAAAUGAGACAAAAACAUUUUCCAACCUUUUUAUGAAACUAUAUAUGAAGUCAUAAACCAAUUCUUGAAGAUGUUAUUCUAGAUUCAUUAGGUCGAUUGACUUAAAUUUAGACAAAUGCCAAUAUAAUACAUGAUUUGGUAAGGUUCAUUUGGUCUUUGUUGGAUUGAUAUCCUUGUAUUUGAUGGUGAUAGUUAUUCCAUCUUAGAAAAUAUCUUUCUGGACUGUGGAUGCAUAUGCAAUGCGAGUAUUCCCUACAUUAUUUUUGACUUUAGGCAACGGAAGAAUAGUCAAUGGCUUAAAAACCAUAGCUUAAAAUGGUAAUAGGCUGCGCUUUUUACUCGUUUUCAAGUUUCUAGAAUUAUGUUAGAAUUUUGUUGUGUUUUUACUUUAAGCUACGAUUUUGAAAGUGUGGUAAUAACAAAAUUGUUGCCAAUUGCUUUUAAACUACGUUUCUGAAGUGUGGCUGUAUAGAAACCGUCCCUUAUUCAAUUUAGACUACGGUUUUAGAGUGUGGGCGUAAGAACAUAUCUUGGAAAUCCAUCUUGGAAAAUAUAUUUCUACACUGUGGAUGUAUAUGCAAUGCGAGCAUUCCCUACACUGUUUUUGACUUUAGACAACGGAAGAAUAGUCAACGACUUAAAAACCAUAGCUUAAAGUAGUAAUAGGUUGCGUUUUUUCUUGUUGUCAAGUUUUAUGUUAAAAUUUUGUUUUGUGUUUACUUUAGGCUACAGUUCUAAAAUGUGGUAAUAACAAAAUUGUCGCCUAUUCCUUUUAUACUACGUUUCUGAAGUGUGGCUGUAUAGAAACCAUCCCUUAUUCAAUUUAGACUACGGUUUCAGAGUGUGGGUGUAAGAAAAUAUCUUGGAAAAUAUAUUUUUAGAUUGUGGAUGCAUAUGCAAUACGAGUAUUCUGGCUCGAGGGGAAAAUAACACACUUUCUAUAACACACUACGUUUUCUCACGCACCUAACAGAGGUAAAAGUCAUUUUUCAACCAAGGUAAAAGCCUUUUUUAAUGGUAGUGAUAAGAUGUUUUUAGACUGUUCUAUGUCUUGCAAUAUCCAUAAUGUUCGGGGGUCAGUUAUAAUAAAUUUUGGAAUGUCCAUAAUGGCCAUGGAAUUUGAAAGGAUUUCUAAUCUUAUCAAUGGAUAUAUAGUAACUGGUAGAUUGGUCCCAUAUAUUGUUGACUAUCUCAGUUAUAAACAAGACUUUGAAGAUCUCCAAACAUUAUAAAGAUGUACGAGAUUCGAUCUAGUGGUGUGUUUUCACAUUAAAUCAAUUAAGAAAGGUCAUGAUACAUAUCGGUUGUUAAUAAAUUAAAAAUCAAUUUAUACUUCCAAAUCCCACAAGGACUGCUUUCAAGGAUAAACUCAAUUCAUGUAUAGAUCAAUUCAUCAAGAAAUGAGACAAAAACAUUUUCCAACCUUUUUAUGAAACUAUAUAUGAAGUCAUAAACCAAUUCUUGAAGAUGUUAUUCUAGAUUCAUUAGGUCGAUUGACUUAAAUUUAGACAAAUGCCAAUAUAAUACAUGAUUUGGUAAGGUUCAUUUGGUCUUUGUUGGAUUGAUAUCCUUGUAUUUGAUGGUGAUAGUUAUUCCAUCUUAGAAAAUAUCUUUCUGGACUGUGGAUGCAUAUGCAAUGCGAGUAUUCCCUACAUUAUUUUUGACUUUAGGCAACGGAAGAAUAGUCAAUGGCUUAAAAACCAUAGCUUAAAAUGGUAAUAGGCUGCGCUUUUUACUCGUUUUCAAGUUUCUAGAAUUAUGUUAGAAUUUUGUUGUGUUUUUACUUUAAGCUACGAUUUUGAAAGUGUGGUAAUAACAAAAUUGUUGCCAAUUGCUUUUAAACUACGUUUCUGAAGUGUGGCUGUAUAGAAACCGUCCCUUAUUCAAUUUAGACUACGGUUUUAGAGUGUGGGCGUAAGAACAUAUCUUGGAAAUCCAUCUUGGAAAAUAUAUUUCUACACUGUGGAUGUAUAUGCAAUGCGAGUAUUCCCUACACUGUUUUUGACUUUAGACAACGGAAGAAUAGUCAACGACUUAAAAACCAUAGCUUAAAGUAGUAAUAGGUUGCGUUUUUUCUUGUUGUCAAGUUUUAUGUUAAAAUUUUGUUUUGUGUUUACUUUAGGCUACAGUUCUAAAAUGUGGUAAUAACAAAAUUGUCGCCUAUUCCUUUUAUACUACGUUUCUGAAGUGUGGCUGUAUAGAAACCAUCCCUUAUUCAAUUUAGACUACGGUUUCAGAGUGUGGGUGUAAGAAAAUAUCUUGGAAAAUAUAUUUUUAGAUUGUGGAUGCAUAUGCAAUACGAGUAUUCUGGCUCGAGGGGAAAAUAACACACUUUCUAUAACACACUACGUUUUCUCACGCACCUAACAGAGGUAAAAGUCAUUUUUCAACCAAGGUAAAAGCCUUUUUUAAUGGUAGUGAUAAGAUGUUUUUAGACUGUUCUAUGUCUUGCAAUAUCCAUAAUGUUCGGGGGUCAGUUAUAAUAAAUUUUGGAAUGUCCAUAAUGGCCAUGGAAUUUGAAAGGAUUUCUAAUCUUAUCAAUGGAUAUAUAGUAACUGGUAGAUUGGUCCCAUAUAUUGUUGACUAUCUCAGUUAUAAACAAGACUUUGAAGAUCUCCAAACAUUAUAAAGAUGUACGAGAUUCGAUCUAGUGGUGUGUUUUCACAUUAAAUCAAUUAAGAAAGGUCAUGAUACAUAUCGGUUGUUAAUAAAUUAAAAAUCAAUUUAUACUUCCAAAUCCCACAAGGACUGCUCUCAAGGAUAAACUCAAUUCAUGUAUAGAUCAAUUCAUCAAGAAAUGAGACAAAAACAUUUUCCAACCUUUUUAUGAAACUAUAUAUGAAGUCAUAAACCAAUUCUUGAAGAUGUUAUUCUAGAUUCAUUAGGUCGAUUGACUUAAAUUUAGACAAAUGCCAAUAUAAUACAUGAUUUGGUAAGGUUCAUUUGGUCUUUGUUGGAUUGAUAUCCUUGUAUUUGAUGGUGAUAGUUAUUCCAUCUUAGAAAAUAUCUUUCUGGACUGUGGAUGCAUAUGCAAUGCGAGUAUUCCCUACAUUAUUUUUGACUUUAGGCAACGGAAGAAUAGUCAAUGGCUUAAAAACCAUAGCUUAAAAUGGUAAUAGGCUGCGCUUUUUACUCGUUUUCAAGUUUCUAGAAUUAUGUUAGAAUUUUGUUGUGUUUUUACUUUAAGCUACGAUUUUGAAAGUGUGGUAAUAACAAAAUUGUUGCCAAUUGCUUUUAAACUACGUUUCUGAAGUGUGGCUGUAUAGAAACCGUCCCUUAUUCAAUUUAGACUACGGUUUUAGAGUGUGGGCGUAAGAACAUAUCUUGGAAAUCCAUCUUGGAAAAUAUAUUUCUACACUGUGGAUGUAUAUGCAAUGCGAGCAUUCCCUACACUGUUUUUGACUUUAGACAACGGAAGAAUAGUCAACGACUUAAAAACCAUAGCUUAAAGUAGUAAUAGGUUGCGUUUUUUCUUGUUGUCAAGUUUUAUGUUAAAAUUUUGUUUUGUGUUUACUUUAGGCUACAGUUCUAAAAUGUGGUAAUAACAAAAUUGUCGCCUAUUCCUUUUAUACUACGUUUCUGAAGUGUGGCUGUAUAGAAACCAUCCCUUAUUCAAUUUAGACUACGGUUUCAGAGUGUGGGUGUAAGAAAAUAUCUUGGAAAAUAUAUUUUUAGAUUGUGGAUGCAUAUGCAAUGCGAGUAUUCCUACACUAUCUUUUACUUUAGGUAACGGAAGAAUAGUCAACGACUUAAAAACCGUAGCGUAAAGUGGUAAUAGACUGCGCUUUUUACUCGUUGUCAAGUUUGUAGAAUUAUGUUAGAAUUUUGUUUUGUGUUUACUUUAAGCUAAGUUCUGAAAGUGUGGUAAUAAUAAAAUCGUCGCCUAUUCCUUUUAAAGUAUGUUUCUGCAGUGUAGCUGUAUAGAAAUCAUCCCUUAUUCAACUUAGACUACGAUUUUAAAGUGUGUUUAUGAAAAUAUCCCUUAUUAAAGUACUGAAUCCAUGUUAGUAUAGACAAAAUAUUCAUAUAUACACUCUAGCUACAACUAAGCUAUAUGAUAUCGUGAUAAUUUGUCUUCCUUAAACUAAUUUAUAUAUAAUAUUUAAAAUUAUAUACAUAUAAUAUAAAUAAUUUUAUAAAAACAAAUUUAUUAAUAUACACCACACUAUUUAAAAUACAUGGUCUUGAAGAGAUAGAUUUUGAAUUUGAUAAUUUAUCAUCUUACUCUAAAUAAACAGAAUUAUAAAAAAACAAAAUUUGUUAUAAAUACAUGAUGGCAACUCCAAAAUAAAAAUUAUUUUUUUAUAGCUAUUAUUAAAAUAGUUAAAUAAAUUUAUUGUAAAAUUAAUAAAAUUUGUUAAUCUCUAUAAUAUCUUUUUAUAUGAUAAAAAAAAUUAUACAAAAAGAGAAACCAUAGAUUUUGUGUAAUAGAAUGGGAUAUCAUUUCAAUACCUUGAUAGAAUUGAUGAUUUUGUGCAAUAAAAUAUUUUACACUAUUAAUACAUAAUUAUUAAUGUCAUAUAAAAUUAUUAAUUUUUAUUUUAAUUAACUUUUUGUUUAAAAUAUUUUGUAUAAAUGUUAUUUUGUAAAAAGAAAUUUAAUACUAAUAUUUUUUUUAAUUUAUAAAAAGUAAAUGUUUUUUUUAUUUAUAUUUUGCAUUUUGAGUUUGGUGUUUUUGAGUUUAGGAUUUCAUGUGAUGAUGGUGAUGCAUGUGGUGAUUGAACUGUUUCUUGGAUUGUUGUUUUAGUUAUGUGGUUGCUCUCACUGUUCAACUCACCAUCCUUCAGGGUAUGUUAUUUUCCUUUUCAUUCCAGUAAUCUGACAUAUUGUAAGUUGGAUUUAAGAAUUUGAUACUUUUAUACAUGAAAAAAUUUGUUCUAAGAAUAGGGAAGAAAAUUAUAGUAAUGACAAACAUAAUAAGAGUCCUUAAGAAUGAACAGUAUCUGGAGCACUUGGUUUCUAUUAUAUAUUUAAUUUUCUCUACCCUUUAUAUGUGAAUAGCAUUCUAUAGGGGUUUUGUUGUAAUUGUUUGUUUUUAGGUAGCUCCUAUUUCGAGUGUUUGUUUCAUGUUAGAGGGACAUUAUAUUUUUUCAAAUGGGUCAUGAUAGCUUUAAGAUUUUUAUUGUUAAUUAUGAAACAUGUACAAAUUUUGUUUUAUAUUAUAGAUCACACAGUUAAUAGUGGUGUUUAAAUUGAAAAGGGGAUUAAAACCAUUAUAGUCAUUGAUUUUUUGUGACAUUGAUUGCAUCAUCUCAAUAGAGUAGAGCAUGGAGCUUUGAAUGGAUUGGCAUGAUCAUCAAUAUGGUCUGCUGUUUUUAUUUUUAUCCAAUUAUUUUGACCCUAUUUAUAGCUCUUGCAGCUUUCUUUUAAUUAAAAUUAUUUUGACCACUUUAUUAAUCUGAACUGAUCUAUAGUUGUGUUGUGGAAGUUUUAGAUAUUUAUAAGUAUAUCUUACUUUCCUUGAGAUAAAUGUCUCAUUUUUUUUUGUAACCCCUUUUUUAACUAUAUACUUGUGUUGAUUUUAAAAUGAGGAUUCCAAAGAUAUUGUUCCAAUGUUAGAGAUUUUGAGUACAUAGAAGUGAAUUAUCCAAAAAAGGAGAUAUAGAGUACUUAUCUCAUAUUUAGGAUUAACUUAACUAUAUAUUCUUAGAAUUCUUCUAAUUUGUUUUGAAAUAAAUGGAAUUAACAAUGGAAAAAUUAUUUUUUUAAUUGUUGUAUGAAUGAUGUUACUGACACCUUUGUUGUUUAUGUAGCACAAAUUUUAAAUGUAUAAAGUUUUUUUAUCACCUCAUGUUCUUCUACGCCAUUAUUUGCAUGUUGUCGAAAAACUAUGUCUGUUUUAUAUACUAAUAUAUUAUUAUUUAUUUUAUUUAUAAUAUAUAUCUAUUAUAUAUAUAUAUAGUGGUGUGCAAGAUUUAGCAUUACUUAUGUGUUUUUCAUUUAUAGGCAACGUUUUUUAUUGUAGCUUAUUAAAAACCGUGGAUUUUUCCAAGAUUUAGGCGCGAUUAUAUAUUUAGUUUAAAUGAAAUUAUAGAUUGAGCUACGGUUUAAUUUUGUUGUUAUCAAUAACUGUUUCCUUUUCAUGUAUUUGGGGACGUUGUUUAUGUUAUUACUAGAAAGUUGUGAUCUAAAAUUUAACUAAAUACGAUAAAGCGACGGUGUUCAUAAUCCGUGGGGUAUAAUAAAAAAUCACGCUCUAAAGAAAUAGGCAACGGCGUUUAUUCACGCUGGUAAAUCGUCCUUAAUGACUUAGACCACGGUUUCUACCUUAGGAGACGGUUUUCAGUUGUUGCCUAAACCCAUUUUGUUCUAGUGAUUAACGUGUGAAUGGAUUUUUCAGUGAAUCUUAGCCAUAGUGUCCCCCUAGGAGUACCAACUUCAGUGAUCUUAGCCAUAACUAUCAACUUUGAUUCCGCUGUCUUUAGACGAUUAUGUUGAGGAAUGAACUAUGUUCAGUCAUAUGAGAUCCUUAACUACUCAAGAGAGUAAAUUAUAAUAAAAGUAAAAGUGCGUAAAAUAACAUUGUAGUGUUGAUAGAAAAAAUAGUAUUUCUAGUCCAUAGAUCAUGGCAUAUAGAAAAUAAUUUUCAUGAGUUAUUUACGGAUGAUGUAUGAGAUGUUAUUUUUAUGGGAUAAAUGAUGUCCUAAUUUUGAUUUAAUGUCUUAUAUUUUUCGACUUGUUAAGUUUACUCAUAUCCUCAUGCUGAUUUUUCGAAUCACCUAACUCCAUAAUGUUCAUCUUUUUUCACUUUGUGGCUCUAUGUACAUAAAGUAUGGUCAUAAAAUGCAAUUAUCUAACCCUACUAUGUUUUGACUUUGCUAGAGUAUUGUCAUUAUGAUAAACUUCACAACUUGAAAGUAUUUAAUUGAAUCUGUUUUUAAUGUACUUAUACUCUCCCAACUUGCUAUAUGUCGAAAAAUAUCCAACUAACUUUAAAAUUGUCUUCCUUUUGAUUUGAACUUUAAUAAUUUUUAAGUGUAAAUAUUAUGUAUAUAUAAGGUGGUAUUUGUUCCAUACAAACUAGAAUUGGUGUUGUUGGAAUCUUAAAGCGGUGGUGUUGAUCUUCGAUACGUUGUGUGGAUGGACCUUCAAGGUUAAUACUCCAAUACCCAAUUCAGUUAUAGAGUUCAACAUAAAUGAAGUUAAAAGUGAUGAUCAUAAAGUGAUCUUAAAUCUCUCGUGUGCUGAUUAUAUACAUUGUAUAAUGAUUAUGCUUCUCCUAUAUUGGGCAUUUGGCUGUUCCCAUACGAAGUAUAUAUUUGAUUUCAUAGAUUAAAGUGAAGGAAAGGAAAGCCGUGCAUUUUUCAUCUCAAUUAUUUAAUGUUUUAAAUUUCUUUUACUCAAAAAAGAAAAGUUACUAAAAUUAUUUCAAAUGUUGAUAUUUAAAUCAUCUUGUAAAAACUUAUAUUUUAUAAAAAUUAACUCGAUGAUAAUCCUUUUUUUUUUUUAUUAAAUCAUAAUUAAUUUAUUAGUGGCCUAUUUCACAAUAUUCAUAAUUUUUUCUUCUUAUGAGGAUAUAGUAUAUAGCAGGGUGGUAAUGAGAAGAACAUUAACAUAUGGACUAACAAUUAGUUGGAAUCAAAAUUAAAUAUUUAGUCUUAGUAUUAUAGUGCAUGUUCAAUUUAUUCAAAUUGUUAAGGUCAAUUUAAUUAUCCAACACAUCGAUUGAACAUUCCUCGUGAUUUAUCCAUUUUGCCUCCUCAAAUUGUUAAAGAUAUUUUGAAAAAUUAAUUGUCAUUUGAUAAUACUAUUGGUGAUAAACUGAUUUGGAAAUUAUUACAAAUUGUGAUCUAUAUUAAAGAUUCUACAAUUAGUGUGAUGUCACGUUGAGCCUUUUGGACAAAACUUAUUUGGCAUCCCUAUAUACCACAUGUUAAAUCAUUUGUGACUUAGAAACAGAUGCAUACUAUUAUUGUAAUAGACAACAACUUGAUUCGAAGAAAAUGCGUAUGAUUCGAUAUGCUCUUUAUGUAAUUGUUUAUUAGAAAAAUGCAUAAGAUUGGAGUUUGCACAUCCUUUCAAGCGAAUUGUAUGAAAUAUGUAUGAAUAUCUAACAAGAAAAUUAUGUAAUUGUUUUAUAGAAAAAUGCAUAAGAUUGGAGUUUGCACCUCCUUUCAAGCCGAAUGUAUGAAAUAAUGAUGCUAUCGUAUGCUAAACAAGAAGAAUGUAGAUCUUUAACUUGAAUUGGCUCAAUGCUGACCAAUCAUGCUUUUCUAAUUUGAAUGUAGUCCCUUGGUAACUUUUAAUUAAAUGGAAGAAUAUUUUGCACACUAUAUUCUCCUUAUAGUCAAGUUAUGUCACAUUUUAGAGAGGAAAAUGCUUAUACUGAUAGAUUAGUGUAUGCAUGUUUUUUUUGUUGAUUAUGACACUUUGUGAAAUUCAUUUACUAUUUAUAUUUUUGAAUUUCUUUUACAAAUAGGUUAGGCAUGUCCAACUAUCAUUUUUUCUAUCUUUUUUAUGUUAGGUUUUAUAUCCCCUUCACCUUUUUGUUUAUUAAUUUGCCUUUAUUUAAAAAGAACAUACUAUUUUCUCCAUCCGCUUCUUUGAAAACAUUUUUUCGAUUCUUAAAUCAACUUGUUUUCAACAUAAAAUAAUAUAAUUAUUAAUUAAAAAUAUAUAUUUAAAUUUAGACAAUUUCAUAGUUAGAAAAUAUUUUAAAAGAUGAAGAAAAGACAUUUGAAAGAUCAUUCCAUUAAGAUUGAAUAAAUCGGUAAUUAAUAUACUCGGAAAGAAUUAUUUAGGUUAUAUAAAAUUUAAAUAUAAUUUAAUCAAAAUACAAUGAAACGUUCAAAAAGAUAUGAAUAUAUCAAUCAAUACUAGUUUUUUAGACUUUUGUCAAAUAAUUUAUUGGCUAAAUUAGGCAUGACAAUGGGGCGAUGGUGGUUUUAUCUUCCCUGUAUCCAAACAUACAUUUCAAAUAAUAUAUAAUAAAGUACAAAAUAAAUAUCAACGUAUUAACAAAGUUAAUUAAUAUUCUAAAUUAACAAAGUAAAAUAUUUUAAAUAUCAAUAAGACAUGUUCGGGUAGGUACUAAUGUUAAAGUACCUAGUAUUAGCUACCUUACCCGACAAGUUACCUAGUAUCUCAUCAUAAGGUGGAGGCAUAACAUAGUGAUUCAAAAAAUUUAAUUCAUCGAUGUCAGGAUCAUUACAAAAUCUUUGAAAGAAUGAUGACUUGAUUUAAGUAAAGGAUUAUGGACACGAUUUAUAAGAUAAGUCGUAUGAAGAAUAAAGAUUAGCAUAGAAAACUCAGGACCACUGUUUGUCCCUAAAAAUAUUGACUUUGUAAUUAUAUUGAAUUUCUAUAUGGAGUGUGAACUUUUGGAAAAGACUAGUGACUUCAAAUUUGGAGUUGCAAAGAAUAAUCCAAGUGAAUCUACUGUAAUCAUCAAGUGCAGUCACAAAAUAUUUAUGAGCCUAGGUUAUAGAAUGAGUUAGUAACUAAACCACCACAAAUAUUGAGAAGAUAUAAUCGACUACCCAAAAGCCUAGUUAUUUGUCAAACUUUAUAUGCAGUUUUUCAAAGAAAUCAUCUAACCAAAAUUCUGCAAGUAUACUUGAUUUUAUUCAUAAUUUUCAUUCAUUAAAUAAUCUCUCUACUUCACACCAACAUUUUGCUUUGUCUAUCCCCACUAUUCAGAUAAUUUCCAAGAAACAAGCAAGUAUGAUUCUUGGAUCAAGGCAUUGAACUCUGAGUUGGAUGCUUUGAAGCACAACAAAACUUGAUUAUUUGUUUAUGUUCCACCUAGUAUCAAGCAUAUCGGAAGCAAAUUGGUUUACAAGGUAAAACGCAUAGAAGACGAGACUAUAAAGAGGUAUAAGGCUAGACUAUUAGCCAAAGGUUACAAUCAGGUUAAUGGAUUUAAUUUCAUUGAUGCUUUUUCACAUGUGGCAAAGAUCACAAUUGUGAGGACACUACUUGAAUUGGCAUCCAUAAAUUCCAAGAACUUACAUCAAUUGAAUAUAAACAAUGUAUUUAUACAUGGAGAUUUACAUUAAAAUGUAUACACAUUAGUGCCACAAGGUGUUACUAGUCCAAAGUCAAAUCAAGUAUGCAAAUCGUUGAAGUCACUCUAUAGUUUAAGGCAAACCAAUAGAAAAUGGUAUGAAAUUAACAUCAUUCUUGGUUAAUCAAUGAUAUAAGUAAUCUGGUUUAGAUUAUUCCCUCUUCACACUCAAUAAUGGUUCACAUUUCAGUGCACUACAAUGUGUAUGGAUGAUAUCAUUUUGGCUGAAAAUUCCAUGGAUGAAAUUGAUAGAUUGAAAACCACACUUGAUGUUGAAUUUAAAAUCAAAUAUCUUUGGCAAGUUAAAGUACUUCAUAAGAAUAGAAGUUUCUCAUUCCAAAACUGAAAUUAUUAUUUGUCAAAGAAAGUAUUUCUUGAAUUUGUUGAAAGACACAUGUCUCAUUGAGUUUAAACCUGUCAAAACUCCUAUUGAUCCAUCUUGCAAGUUGCACCAGGACACAACUAAACCUUUUGAAGAUAUUCUCAACUAUAGAAGAUUAGUUGGAAAUCUACUUUAUCACUUAACUAUCAGGCCUGAUAAGUAACUUUCUUCAAUCAAUGAGAUUAGAAUUUGCGUUCCUACAAUAUAAUAUCCUUAUAUAGCUAUCAAUGAGGUAGUUUAUAAUUUAAUUUAUAUACGUUUGUAAUGUAAAUCCAAUUAAAUUGCAUGUUAAUAUUUAUUAUAAUUUUUUAAAAUAUAAAUCAUAAAAUGAUAUUUGUAAAUAACUUAUUUGGAUCCAUUUAUAAAAAAAAUUAUAAUGUAGAUAUAUAAAAAAGUUCUUUUAAAAAAAGAAAAAAAAACUAACAAGUUUUUUUUGUUAUAGAAAGAUGAGGUACUAAACUUUUGAAAUUAAAAUAAAAAGAUGGCACUUAUAAAUUAUAUUUAAUUUAAUUUUUUUAUAAUUACAAUUGAAUUAUUAUAUAAUCUUUAUCUUUAAUUUUGCUAUCAUUAAAUUUGUAUUUUACUUAAAAGCGUUGGACCAGAAAUGUAGCCGAGGUAGUUUUUAUAUACGAGUUGGACAGAAUCAAACAUGAUUAUAGAAAAGUGGAGUUUGUCUAGUUUUAUCUUCCAUAUUAGAUAAUGUGAUUUAGUUAGCAAAAAAAUAGGAGUUAGAAUAGGGUAAAUGAUUUUUAUUCAAACUAGGACUCUCUCUUAUAUAUUUCAACACACUAACACUAUUGUUCACGUAGUUAAAAAUCACAUUCACUCAAAUCAUAUCUUCAUCUUUGCAACAAGAAAAAUGCAAUCAUGGUGAGGAUACUAGAAAUAUUGUGUUAAAAAAAGGAACAUGGUCAAAGGAAGAGGAUCAAUUAUUAAGAGAAUAUGUGACAAAAUAUGGAGUUAGAAAGUGGGAUUCCGUACGAAAGAAAACAAAACUUGUUAGAGAUGGAAAAAGUUGUCGUAUAAGAUGGUUAAAUCAUCUAAAUCCAAUUUUAAAAAAGUGCUCGUUCAAUGAAGAAGAAGGAAGAAAACUUACUCAUCUCUAUAAUGAGUUAGGACCAAAAUGGUCUCAAAUGGUUUCACAGGUUUGUUUAUUCAUGCUUCACUCUUAUAGGAAAAAAAAUUACUUUUAUAAAUAAAAAAUUAAAGUUUAUUAGGCUUUCUAUAAUUGUAACCAUUUAUAAUAGGUAAUGAUUUUUUUGUAUGUUCGCUAAGAUUAGGGUUUUUUUUGGUAAUAAUUUUUUGCAUGAAGUCUACUUAUUAAUUAAUAACCAAUUUUUUUUUUAGAAUAACUGAUAAUUGAUUAUAUAAUUAUUUUGAAUUUGUUUUUGUUGUGACAGUUUCCUGGAAGAACCGAUAAUGAGUUAAAGAAUUUUAUUAAUUCCAAAUAAAGGAGUUUAAAAAACUCUAGAAAGCACCCCAUUUCAAAAAACAUAAACCAUGUUGAUGAGUUGAAUAACAAUGUUGGAGAAAUUAGUAACCAACAAAAUAAUGCCUCCCAAGAAGAAGAAAUGGAAUUUGAUCAUCAAGAAGAUACUCUACAUGGUAACUUUUCUUCUUGAUUCAAAUUUAUGAUGACAAAAAUAUCAACAAACUUUUCAACAAUUUUCAACGUUGGCUGAUGAUUUAAGUACUUGUUUCAACAAUCAUGCUUGCCCAACAUUGGAUGAUAGGUGAGUAGACAAUUUUAAUUUUUGUUCUUUUAAUAAGUUUAUAAUUACAUUAAACAUAUUUCAAGACUAACAUUAGAAUUUAUAUUAUGAAUGCUAACAGGUUUCCUACACUCCCAGAAUGUUCAUACUUUCAAGAUAUGGAAGAUAUAGUUCCAUCAUUUUCAUCAAGUAAUAUGUUUUUUGAUCAAGAAGAUACUCUACAUGGUAAUUAUCUUCUUGAUCAAAUUUAUGAUGACAAAAAUAUCAACAACCUUCAACAAUUUUCUACGUUGGCCGAUGAUUCAAGUACUUGUUUCAACAAUCAUGCUGUCCCAACAUUGGAUGAUAGGUGAGUAGACAAUUUAAUGUUUUUUUUUUCUUUUUAAAGUUUAUAAUUACAUUAACAUAUUUCAAGACUAACAUUAGAAUUUAUAUUAUGAAUGCUAACAGGUUUUCUACACUCCCAGAAUGUUCAUACUUUCAAGAUAUGGAAGAUAUAGUUCCAUCAUUUUCAUCAAGUAAUAUGUUUUUUGAUCAAGAAGAUACUCUACAUGGUAAUUAUCUUCUUGAUCAAAUUUAUGAUGACAAAAAUAUCAACAACUUUCAACAAUUUUCAACGUUGGCUGAUGAUUCAAGUACUUGUUUAAACAAUCAUGCUAUCCCAACAUUGGAUGAUAGGUGAGUAGACAAUUUAAUGUUUUUUUUCUUUUUAAAGUUUAUAAUUACAUUAACAUAUUUCAAGACUAACAUUAGAAUUUAUAUUAUGAAUGCUAACAGGUUUUCUACACUCCCAGAAUGUUCAUACUUUCUAGAUAUGGAAGAUAUAGUUCCAUCAUUUUCAUCAAGUAAUAUAUUUUUUGAUCAAGAUCUUCCUCCAUACAAUCUAGACAUGGAUUAUCAACUUCCACAAGAAAUGUUUUCUGACCAAUAUCUUCAAAAUCCAAAUCUAUUAUCUAAUAUGUUUUUUGAUCAAGAUCUUCCUCCAUACAAUCUAAACAUGGAUUAUCAACUUCCACAAGAAAUGUUUUCUGACCAAUAUCUUCAAAAUCCAAAUCUAUCAUCUAAUAUGUUUUUUGAUCAAGAUCUUCCUCCAAUUCCACAAUACUAUCCAUACAAUAUAGAUAUGGAUUAUCAACUUCCACAAGAAAUGCAUUCUGACCAAUAUCUUCAAAAUCCAAUUCUAUCAUAUGAGGAGCCUCAAUAUGAGAUCUUAGAACCUUGGUUGCUAUCUGAAUGUGUUCCUCUUUGGUGAACUUGAUUGAUGAAAAACAUGAGAUGAUGGUAGAACUUAUUACUCCACAUAGUAGAUAUUAUAUUUGAAUGUAUUUCAUACAAUGUAAAAGAUAUCUUAGACACAUUUAUAUAUGGAAAAAAAAUUCCAUCCUACGGAUUUGUGAAGGAUUUUGUGACAAUAGAAAAUUAGUUUACAAUGAUUAUUAUGUAAUUUUUCCUUCUUUAGUUAAUGUUUUCAUUUUUUAAGAAUUAAUUGGUAUUACGAAACACUUUUGCCGAUUAUAUUUGAUAGAACUAUUCUAUUUUAAUGUUUAAUGUUAGAGUAUCAGUGUUGUGAUAAAUCUCACACAUAUUUAUUACCUAUUUAUUAUAAUAUUAAAAUUUAAUAAAUAACUAUUGUUUUGAUAAUUCAAUCUCUUACUUAUCACAUUAUUAAAAAUAUAAAGUGACAUUUGUUAAAACAUAAUCUAUUAAUACUUUAAUUAUUCAUAUAAGAAAAAUGUGUAACUUUAUUUAUAAAAUUAUAUUAAUUAAAAUACAUAUAUUUUCAUAUUCCAUAAAUCAUCUCUUAAUAUUCUUAAAAUUUAUGUAUAUCUAUUAAUUUAUUUCCUUUGUGUUUCCAUUCCAUACAUAAAAUUACAUGCAUGUACAAAUUGUAUAUUUACAAUACAUCAAAACAUAAAUUAUUAUUAAUUACAUGUACAAAUCUUUUAUCAUCCAUAUAUCAGAACUCAAUUUAUGAAACUUUCACUCUAUUUUCUAUUACACACACUUAUUCACCAUAAAAAAACUUAAUUAACUUUUAAAUAAAUCAAUAGAAAAACUAUUAUAAACAUACAAUUUUCUUUGUUUUUUCUAUACUAAUUAUUAUAUUUUUUUCGUAGACGAUUAUUAUAUUUUUUAAUUAAUUAAUUUUUAAAUAAAUCGAUUGAAAAACUCAAAUUAUUAAUAUUUCUAAAAAAUACGUUAUAUAAUAAUUUAUCCCAUAAAAAAUUGUGCAUAAAAUAUUUUUUAUUGAAAAUAUAAAAUCAUAAUAACAAAGAAAAAACCACAUCACAAUGUUUAAGAUAAAGUACUCAAACAAUACUUUCAAAUAUUAAAUUUUAUUACAAUGCUAAAUAUAAUUAACAAACAACAUUUUCAAAUUUAACUUAUAAUUUUCAAACAGACAAACAAAAGCAUCAAAUUAUUUCUAAAAUAUUAUUUUGAAUUAUAAUUUCAUAUACAUGUUACAAGAUUAAACUAUAAAUUUCUGACUAUCAUUUAUAUUUUCUUACAUAUAAUUGAUAUUUUAAAAUUAAAUUUUUAUGUCUUAUUUGCAUUUCCAUGACUCAAAUAUAUUUCUUAUCACUUAAACUUUUACUUUCUCUUUUUAUUAUCUUAUUCACCUUAUCGUCGCAAUUACAAUUUAAUUUAUAAUUAUAAUAUUAUUUAAAAAACUCAUCUCAUUCCCACGGAUUUACGGGUCUCAAUCUAAUACAAUAAUUAAAACGAUUAAUCGAAUACAUAAAAGAACCACGGCUACAUAAACCAAAUAAGCGUUUUGUUCCUCUUAGUCAUAAUAUACCAUACAAACUCUACAAAUAUGACAACAAUUAAUCCACAAAAUGACUCAAACUUAAUUAUUGGCUCCAUCACUAUAAUACUCUAUAGUGGCGUAUAGUCAUAAUAUACCAUACAAACUCUACAAAUAUGACAACAAUUAAUCCACAAAAUGACUCAAACUUAAUUAUUGGCUCCAUCACUAUAAUACUCUAUAGUGGCGUAUUUAGCAAUUGUUGCUAAGUAUGUAGGGCUAUAUGGUCAUUUUGGCAACUCAUUAUAAGAAUCCCUUUUGGAUGAAGGAAUCCUCACUUUCACCAUUCCUUCGCUCACUAAAUUCAUAAAAUUUGGAGUAGAAGAAGAAAGUCUUGAGUUCAAAGCAUAAUCUCCUUGCAUGUCCUAGUAGAGUAAAGUUUCCUGAAGAGAAGUGUCAAAAGCAAAGCUUAGAUCAUUCAAAUGUGGGGUUCUAACUGUGGGUUUGAUUGGGUUUAGUACCAUUAGGAAAGCAUGAUGAGGGUUUUGGGGUUGCUUCAUUGAUGAAACCAUGUUUGAUAAUCUUCAUGAUUUUGUGUGAAUGCUUUUUAGGAAUAAGAGAAAGAUAUCUUAGUUAAAUCAAGUAAGAAAUAUCAGUGGGAAAAUCCUAUUGAUUUAUGAGUAUGUGCUUGCCUAAUGGAAAUUAAUUGGUAAGUGAGAACAGAAUAGGAUCAAAUUAGAAGUCUCGGUAAAUGUUGAUGUGAUGAUUCUAGGAAAAAGGGAAUCUAAUAGGUGAAAUUUAUGGUUCCUAGGGCUUGCCUAAUUUACAUUUGAAAAUUAGGAGAGUAAGACCUCGACAGAAGGUGUAAUAGGUGAAAUUUAUGGUUCCUAGGGCUUGCCUAAUUUACAUUUGAAAAUUAGGAGAGUAAGACCUCGACAGAAGGUGUUGGAACAAAAUUGGUUUAUAUUAUAUCUUUAAUGUUUUGAUGAUAACAAGAUAUUUAAAGAAUAAUUGGAUAUAUUAAUUUAUGUUCAAGUGUGCAGGAUCAUAGACUGAAAUUUGUGAUCUAAAUUAAGUUCUGAUACUGAAUAUGAACAUUUAUAGAGAAGCUAAAACGACGUGCAUGUUCCAAGGAGGUGAACGUGGUGGUUCCACUGUCGUUAUGGGUUCAACGACGUGCAUGUUCCAAGGAGGUGACCGUGGUGGUUCAAUCGAAGACCAAAAUCCCACCUUCUUAUGUUUUUUAUGUGAGUUGGUUUUUUUUAUUCUUUCUUUUUCAACCCCCUUCCAAAAAUCUAUUUUUAUGCCUCUAUUUAUAUUGAAGAAUUAGGGUUAAGACGAGGGAAAGUGAUAAAUGUGUAAGGAUUGUGAUGGGACCAAAAUACAGUGUUGCAACAAAUCUGUGAAUUAUUAAAGCUUUAAAUGGUUACAAGUCAAAAUAAAAUGUAAAGGAUACUGGAAAAUAUUCUUCAAUGAGAAAGAGUUGUUGUGAUGAACUUUUAGUGGAUAAUGAUUUAGUGACUUUAACUUGGGAAAGUUACCAUCAUACCUUUGAGAAAAUUCUGUAUGGGAAACUAUUUAAUAGAUUGUUUUAGAACACUAAAAACACUAUUAUUAAUUACGGGAUUUUCACAUCACAAAAGUGGAAAUUCCGUUACAAUAAUUGAUUAAUGACGUGGAAAAUCACGCGGCAAAAAUAAUUGUUACAAUAAUACUUUGCCACAUGAUUUCUAUUUUGGACAUUAAUUUUUUAUCAUUACUUGUAUCUCACUAUAAAUAUUUAGAUCAAUUUAAAUGAAUCAUUUCAAAAUAUAAUGCUUUUCUCGGAGUUGCUCAGAGAACUUAGUCAUUACUUAUGUUAAGUUUGAUUUAUCAUAGACGAUGGAAAUUGAUGCUUACAAUGAUGCAGUGCUGGUGUUUUUUUUAGCUUACAAUUAUUUUAUGUAUCUGGAUUGGUUAUUUUUUUAAAAGGAUAAUGAAAAAGGAAAAACAGAUUGACAUUGGAAAAAUCUGUUGGAAAAAUCAUAAAAGCAUUAUAAUAGAUGAGGAGGAAAAGACAAAUAAAAAUUAACAUAAAAAAAAGAAGCAAAUUCCUUAAAUUUAUUUUUGUUCAUCACCACCAACAAAAAGUUAUCACCCAGAAAUAUGUUUUUCACUUAACACCAUAAAACAUCGUUAAUCCAGAAAAUACAUUCCUUCUCUAUUCUUACUAAGUCACCAUUACUAAAACAACACAAUUCACAGGAAACUACAAAAGUUCCAUAUAUGUCUUUCUUUUAGUGAAAUAAAUCUAUGUUUUGGAGUUCAUAUCUCUUUUUUUAGAGAUCUGGAUUUCUGAUAAUUUUUUAGAGAAAUGUUAAAUCUGAAGAUUAUCGUUGGCUCAGGAGUGGAUUCAUGUAUCGAAGGUUCAGAUCUAGUGGCGAUUGCGGGAGAAGCCUCAAUAAGAUGAAGAGUAUUUUAGAAGCUGAAGAAGACGAAGAAUUGGAUGAAGAAGAUGGAGAGUUUGAAAAAUGAGAAUGACAAUUUCAAAAGUUGGCCUUCCAUCAAAAUGGACUACAAGUUCUUGUUGUUGCUGAGAAUGAAAUUUUGAAGGUGAGGAGUUUUGUUAUUGUUGUUGGUGAUGGGGAUGAUUGGUGUUGCCUAUCUUCUAUUUGUUGUUUGCAUAUCUGUAGUUUCAUUUAAGAUUCUUGUGUUUUGCGUUGUUUGAGUUUUAUGAUUUUUUUUUACAAAGUCUUUUUUACAAAGUUUUUUUUUCUUCUGAGUUUAAAGAAUGUGAUUUGUGUGUUUUUUUCUUGCAGAAAAUGUGUAUAUGGAUAUGUAAAUAACAAGUUGUAUAUAUAUGCAAAAAAGGUGUUUUUUUUCUGAGUUUUUUUACUGAAAAAUGUUGUUGUGAAUAAAAAAAUUUAACCUAAUGAUUCAUAUCAAUAUUCUUUGCAUUAGAAGAAAAACGAUGAGAUUGAGAAAGAAAGAAUACACACCAACACAACUUGAAUCAAACACACACCAACACUUCCUAGAAUAGUGUUUUUUUUUUUGAAAUUUGGCUUCUUUUUUUACUAAAAUAAAAUAAAAAUGAAAAAAAUUCUACUGAUGUUUUAAAAUAUAUAUUUAAUUGCUUGAACAAAAUAAGAAUACUACAACUACUAUCUCAAACGAGUUUUAUAUUAGAGUUUCUUUCACACACACCACUCUCUCACUUUCUUCCAUUUUAUCAACAAUUUCUCGGUUCACCUCACAAACCCUACCCAAGUCGUCGCUUGGACAAAAUUAGGGUACUAUAACUACUAUCCUAGAACACGUUUUGUAUUAUUGUUUCUUUCACACACACUCACUAGAUACACCACUCACUCACUUUCUUCCAUCUUAUCAAACAUUCUCUCAAUAACGGUUCACCUCACAAACUCUACCCACGCUACUAGAAAAAUCACACUUAACCUCGGACGUGAAAUGAAUUUAACCUCGGCUACAAAGGCGAGGUAACGAUAGGCGUCACGUAAAGUGAAAACCCUACUCUCGGUUUUAAGAAAACAUACGAGUAUAUGAAAAGGUCAUGAAUUUGAUCCCCAUGAAGACCUUUUUAGAAUUCUGAAAUGGCGAAAACACAUGUUCCCUCGGUUUUGUAAUUUCACUAACGAAUAUACCAUAUUUUCACCUCGAUUAUCUCAUAAAAUCGAGGGGUAAGACAAUUUUGAGUUUAUUAAAUCUGAUAUGGAUUACUCAUUUCACUAAACCCUAUACUGAAUAUAUAACUUCUAAAAUUUGGUUAGGAAAAUUAUUUUAUAAAUGAUUGUGUUAUAUUUUAAGAACAACUUACAUUGAUUAUGAUUUUGAAGCAUCCUGCAAUUCAUCAUUCUUUUCACGUUGUUUUGUGGUUAAAAUAUCUCCAAUGUUUCAAGUUCUUUAUUCAACACUUCCUUUUCUACUAAUUCAUUCUUAAAAGCAUAAAAUUUAAUGCUUUGAAAAAUGAACAAAUAUGAAAAAAAGUUGAACGAAAACUAGAAGUGUUGGAGAGAUUUUAACAAUAAAACAAUGUGAGAUGAAUGAUGAGUUGCAGAAUGCUAGAAAAUCAUUAUUCAGUGUAAGAUAAGUUUCAGAUACAACAUAGUUUUUCAUAUGAUUAUUUCCAAAAUCAAUUUACUAGGUUUUAUGUUCAAAGGUUAGUGUAACAAACAAUCGAUAUGAGAUAUAAAAAACUCAACUAGACGGAACAAAAGGAAAGUUGCACAAAGAAUCAUAAAACACAUAAUCUCAAUAUCAAUAUCAACAAUAAAAAUAACAAUAAAACAACAACAACAUCAAACACAAUAUCAAGAACAACAACGUCAAUAAACAACAACAUUAUCAAUAACAACAACGUCAAUAAACAAGGACAACAACUUCAAAGAAAACAACAUCAAUAACAACCAUAAAAACUCUAGGGUUUCAGAUCAAAACUGGCGAUCUGGUGGAAGACAUUGCUUACCAAGUUGAUGAAAUUUCUCAAAUUAAUGAUGUGAUUGAAGUUGAAUAAAUUAAAAUUUUGUGUGAUACAAUGGUUGAGGGUCAUCAAGUUGAUGCAUUUAUAUUGUUGGAAGAAAAUAAUGUGGACGAAGAGAAUGAAGAGUUUGGAUCUGAGGAUAAUAUCGGAUCAGAUGAUGAAAAUGAUAUGGAUGAAGAGCAUGAAGAAUUUGAAUAUAUUAUUUUUGUAAUUUUACUUAAUGAUUGAUAGAAAAUAAUGUGUUGAUUUAAAUGUGUUUCAUUGAUUUAUUAAUUAUGUUAAUGAAUUAGUUGUAUACGUUGUGUUAAUUUAGUAUACGUGUAUUCUCUCAAAAUAGACAAAAUGCCACCCCAGACUAAUAAGGGUAAGAGUAAGAAGACCCAACAUCAACGCCCGAGGGUAAUGGCAUGUGAGGCACCUCCGUUGGCCAUGUGUCCUCCCCACAAAGUUAGGUAGAUCUCAUGUUUAUAUCUAGUUCUCAACCUCUUAUGUCACUACUCUUCCCUCAUGAUUAUCCUAUGUUACCAUUUGGAAAUCCAACUUUCAUUAGCCCAUCUGGGGGAUCUACCUUUCCGUUCCAGCAGACUGGUGGAUCUAGCUUUCCAUACCAGCAGACUGGGUGUCUAGCUUUCCAUAUCAGCAGACUAGGGUGUCUAGCUUUCCAUACCAGUAGAUUGAGGUGUUAGCUUUCCAGAACUCGCAUAGGUGCCCUCAUCCUUCAUGAAUUCGUUCCCUCAUCAUCUAUCACACAUACCCUCACCAUCCAUACAGUCUUGGGGGAUCCCGCACCCCGCAUCCCUCACACAUACUCUCACCAUCCAUGAAGCCUGGGGGAUCCCACAUCCUACACACAUACCUUCAUCAUACAUAAAUCCUUGGGGACCUCGCACCUCACUUACCAAACACAUACCCUUACCAUCCAUGUAUCCUUGGGGGCCUCACACCUCUUCUAUCACACACAUACCUUUACCAUCCAUGCAUAUUGGGAGACCUCGCACCUCACCUACCACACACAUACCUACGCGUGAGGAGGAUCAUUAGGGGAAGUAUAAGGAUGAUAAUAAGGACGAUCUUAAGGGGGGGGGGAUGAGGACGAUCAUGGGGGGCGGGAUCUCACUUCACAUUCGAAUUAGUUUGAGAUGAUUGAUGGAAGAUACUAUAUUUGACCUAGUAGAAAAUUGUAAGUUUCUAAUUUAUGAAUUUUUAAUUUAAGUAAACAUGUUGCCUUUUUUUAGAUUUAAUAAUACUUAUUCAAAUUAUUAUUGUUUAUUUUCAAGCCGAGUCGGUUUGCUGCCAAAUGUAUAAGUUAUGUUAUUCAAUAAAUGUAUAGAAAAUCUUUGAAGAGAUUUCGAGAACUUUCCAAGAGUGAUAAAGAUGCUUAGCUUAGCAAAUUUAAGGUAUAACGAAUUUAUUUUAAGUUAUUGUUAUUUUAAUUACUUUUUUUAAUUAUAAUCAUCUAACGAUUAAUUUUAAUGUCAUACAACAUUACAGGAAGAGUGUACGUUAGGAGUAAUUAGCGAGGCUAGGAUUGAAAAACAUUGGCGGGGCAGAACAUCAAUCUGAUUUUCUGACAUGCUAUGGUGUGCUAGACGUGGUUGGGAAGAGGAAAGUGUUCAUUCUAACAUUAUAGGAAAGGAAGUUUUUGAUGAACUUCUUGUCUAUUGGGAUUCACCCGAUUUUAAGGAAAGAUUUGAAAUUGCAAAAAAAAUGAGAGCAUCUGAAAAGGGGGGUCACCUUAAUGCAGUUGGAAGCAUUAGUAUCGUCGAACAUGCUCGGCGCAUGGUAAUUAUAACUACUUUUUAAAGUUAUAUUUUUAUUUCCUAUAUACUUUUAAUUAAAGUUAAUUUUAUUAGUUAAUCUAAGGAUUUGGGGAGACCCACAUGAAUGAAUGAGAUAGUUGCAAAGACUUAUACCAAAAAAUUGGGAGAUUUUGUUGAUGAACAUACCAGAUUAGCUUUUAUAAAUUGUUUAUAUUGUAUUAUUUUAUUUAAAUUAAUUCCCAUAUAUGAAUAAAUUGUUUAAAUUAUAUUAAUAUUUAAUGGCAAAGUUGUGGCAUAAUUUUUAUGUGGCAACUAAUUUAAUGUUGUUUGUGACGUGAAAAUUACGUGGCUAUAUUUCAUUAUUUUAUUUAAUUUAAUUCUUGUAUAUAACUAAAUUUUUUAAACUAUAUUUAAUUAAAAAAAUAUGCGUAAAAGGAAUAUCAGACAUUCCUCGCAAAAAUUUUAGUUCAAAAUCUGCAGUAUACUCUGAUAGGUUAAAACCCGAUUGAUGAUCGUGUGGAUCUUUAUAUUUGGAAUUUAGUAAUUGGCGGGAGAUGAUCUAACGGAUAUUUAUUUGGUGCUGGAUCUUUGGCAGGGAACUAGAGAAUAGGGAAUAGAACAUUAUUUGAAUGAGUUGGGGAUGAGAAAUGAACAUGACGCACACAAUAAUUGACAUCCAAAAUGAUAAUAAUAACAAUAAUAACAACAACAACAUUAAAUCUUUUUUUUAAAUUAAAAAUCCAUACUUAAAACAAAUAGAUGUUGUUUUUUUGGUUUUUUUUUAAAUUCAAAAGAAAAAAAAAUAAUGAUGAUAAAUGUAAUUAAAUAAAAUGUAAUGUCACUUUUUUCUUAGAAAUUUUGCUUAAAUAAUUGUCAAAAGGAAUAACACUCUUAAUUUAUUUAUUUUUGAGAUUUUUUUUACCAAAAUACAAUAAAAAUGAAAAAAAUUAUACUGAUGUUUUAAAAAAUAUAUAUAAUUGCUCGGACAAAACUAGGGUACUACAACUACUAUCCCAAAAUGCAUUUUGUAUUAGAGUUUUUUUCAAACACCACUAUCUCACUUUCUUCCGUUCUAUAAACCAUUUAUCUCUUAAUGACGAUUCACCUCACAAACCUACCCAAGUUGUCGCUCAUAAGAAAUUAGGAUACUACAACUACUAUCCUAAAACACAUUUUGUAUUAGAGUUUCUUUCAUACACACUCACUAGACACACCACUCCCUCACUUUAUUUUGUUAUAUCAAUCAUUUCUCUCUCAAUGACGAUUUACCUAAGAAACCCUACCCAAAUCCUCUCACUCUUUCACUUUUAACCACCUCCAUUAAUCCACACAUACCAUUGUUCAUGGUCACCGCCACCCAUUACCAU